UGUAAAAUCUACCCGUACCCUGUUUCCUUCGCAAUGAGAAGAGUCCAUUUACUUCUAUGUAACUGUGCCGGGAAUUUCCAGACUGUAAUCCAUACUUCCUCUUAUGCUACCCCUGUGAACAAUGUUCGGAUCUUUAUGCAACCGACUGUACUUUGAUCAUCAAAAUUUUUCUCCUUAAUUCCUACCUUAUUGCAUUUCCGAGAUAAAAGGUGGUACGGCUGAUAUCUUCUCAUCUAAUAGAAUAUUUAGCCACUUGAUAAAAUUCCGAUAACAUGCUGAUAUUUGAGAAUUAAAUAGAAAAGUGGCCAUUUUAGACACCUAUUAUCUGAAACUGAUUGGUGUUAACAGCGCAUCACACUGAUACCAAACGAAUUUAUCCAAUUUUAUUUGGAGAAAAAUUUAAUAUGGAUUAGAUUCAAAAAUUUUAUUUUUUGGUUAUGUUAAUCUGCGUAAACGUAAUGGGAAUUAUAUGUAAUAUGAUGAAUUUUAUUAUUUGAAAUUAUGGAAAAAAAUGAUUAUUCUAUAUCAAAAUGUUCGGUCACUUAAGAGAAAAUCAUCGGAUCUCCAGAAAGUCUUGAACAAACGUUUCGAUGUUCUUUGUUUAUCAGAAACGUGGUUGGAAACACAUUCUACCAUUCAUAACGUUUUCGAUCGGUUUGGUUACGACCUGUUUUCUGCACCGAGAGAUUAUUGUAAAGGAGGAGGAGUACUUAUUGCCAAAAAAAGGACUUAAACGCUAAACGAAACUUUUCUAAAGAAGACUAUUUCAUAUCUGUUCAAAUAGAUAAGCAUAGUUUACUGUUAGUAUGCUGCUACGCACCCAAACGAUGGUGCCCUUACAUAUUCCCUUCUCUUCGUCGCUACUUAAAAAGAGUUAGGGGAUUAUUCGAAAAUUUAAUAAUCUGUGGAGACUUUAACACUUGCCACAUCGAAUGGUUUGGAUAUCUUCCUCAAUAUUCUUACCUUAAUCAGGCAGAAAAAUAUCUUUUGUACAAAAUUUACUAUUUCUUUGAAUUUAUUCAAAAGGUCGAUUUUCCCACGCGUCAAAGCAAUUUUCUCGAUCUAGUAUUUACUAAUUGUAAACGCCUGAAUACUUCGUCUUGUACCGCCUUUGCAUCCGAUCACAUGGCAAUAUUAAUCUCUAUCGACUUUAAAACUUACAUAUGCGAUACUUACCUACCCGUUACUAAUAAAAUUAAUCGGAAAAGAGGAGAUUUGGCCAGUAUAUUCCAUUCUGUAGUUAAUUUCGAUUGGUCGUUGUUUAUCAACAAUUUUUCAGCUCAGUUAAGUACGUACAAAUUAUACACCCGUUUAAAUAUCAUUAGAAAGAAGUCACGAUUUCUUCCUUACUCCAGAAGCUUUAGGCAUAGCAAAUAUUAUGCAAGUAAGACAUAUUCCAAUAAUCACUAAACUGAUAAAAUCCGAUUACGAAUAUUGCUGAUAUAAUCGGUUGCGUGAUAAAUUUAAACUUUUAUAACGUAUUGAAAAAGAUAAUUAUUUUACCAAAUAAAUUUAAAUUUUAUCUAUUUUUCCGUUAUUUUUUAUAAAGGUACAUAACUAAAUCGAAUAUUUGAGAAGAAAAUAAUUCGUCUUAUAAGUAUUUCGUUAAAACAAAUUAAUUUUGAAACUGUGAUAUCGUAUAGAAGGUAUUAAAAAUACCACUCUCUUAGAAGCUAAAUGUGUGAAAAUACAGAUUCAUGGUAUCGCUAUAUUAAUUUAAUGUAACUAAAUUAUUUUUCCAUAGCUAUCUCAUGUUUUGAAGCUAAAUUUUUGGAACGAUAUUUGGAUUUUAGGUUUUGAAGAAAUUUUGAAAUUCCAGUUCUCAUUGCAUCAAUGAUCAUACGCUUAAAACACCAGAGCUUGCACCCAACUACAAUAUUCGUAUCUACGUAAAAAACCAGAGCGGAAGACCGAGACCAAACUACAUGGAUAAUAUCAAAAAUGAAAGGAUAUACUUCCAAAUUAAACGACUAGCCAUAAAUAGAAUGCAUUGCACAACAGAUAUUCUAUCUAACAAUUCUUCCCUGGAAGAGAAGAAGUAUUCAUGCAAAUUGUAAAAAGUUAUAAUUACAAUUUGCAUGAAUUUUUUUAUAAUUAGAUGAU
This 2103-nucleotide long non-coding RNA is filed under the name Androctonus crassicauda. The record is from RNAcentral. Lineage: Eukaryota; Metazoa; Arthropoda; Arachnida; Scorpiones; Buthidae.